UACCAAAAAGCUAAGUCAUAGUUUUUGGUUAAAAGGUGGUUAGGUCAUGAUGAGGUUUAAGAAGAUUUUUAUGUAUAGGUAAAAUUUGAACAUGAAACUAUAUUUUAUAUUAAGCUAGAAUCACUGAAUCCACGAAAUCUUUGAUGUAAACUGGGAUUGGAUACCCCACUAUUCUUAGACGUAAAUAACUAUAUACCAGAGUACUAUGAGCAAAGUUUAAAACUCAAAGAACUUGGCGGUGCUUUACACCAUUUAGGGGAACCUGUCUCGUAAUCGACAAUCCACGGGAUACCUUACCUUUUCUUGUAAGACAACUUGUAUACCGUUGUCGCCAGGUAACUCUUCAAGAUUAUACAGUUAGCUAAUUAGUUGAUAUACUAAGACGUCAAAUCAAGGUGCAGUUGAUGAAAAGGAGAAGAUGGGUUACAAUUAUAAAUUUAUAAGUACGGAAUAGCAGGGGAAAAUGGCUAGGAAGGCGGACUUAAAAGUAAAGUUCUAUAUAUAAAUUUCUUGAAAGGGGCUCUGAAGCGCGC
This 533-nucleotide ribosomal RNA is filed under the name Mangeliidae gen. 2 sp. NP-2008. Its description in RNAcentral is "partial 12S ribosomal RNA". It matches the Rfam family "Bacterial small subunit ribosomal RNA", at positions 587 to 1384 of the family's 1533-position model. The record is from RNAcentral. Lineage: Eukaryota; Metazoa; Mollusca; Gastropoda; Neogastropoda; Conidae.